RNAcentral lists this ribosomal RNA (209 nucleotides) under uncultured bacterium. RNAcentral describes it as "partial 16S ribosomal RNA". It matches the Rfam family "Bacterial small subunit ribosomal RNA", at positions 1288 to 1500 of the family's 1533-position model. The record is from RNAcentral.
UUCGGAGUUGCAGGCUGCAACUCGCCUGCAUGAAGUCGGGAAUUGCUAGUAAUCGCGGAUCAGCACGCCGCGGUGAAUACGUUCUCGGGCCUUGUACACACCGCCCGUCACACCAUGGGAGUCGGUAACACCCGAAGUCUGUAGCCUGACGCAAGAGGGCGCAGCCGAAGGUGGGAUUGAUGACUGGGGUGAAGUCGUAACAAGGUAUC